AUAGCAAUUGCUCUUUUGGAAG
Molecule: microRNA, 22 nt
Filed under: Pongo abelii (Sumatran orangutan)
Lineage: Eukaryota; Metazoa; Chordata; Mammalia; Primates; Hominidae
Also listed under: 1 other name
Description: Pab-Mir-4766_3p (mature (co-guide))
Source: RNAcentral